GACGAACGCUGGCGGCGUGCUUAACACAUGCAAGUCGAGCGGUAAGGCCCUUCGGGGUACACGAGCGGCGAACGGGUGAGUAACACGUGGGUGACCUGCCCUCAGCUCUGGGAUAAGCCUGGGAAACCGGGUCUAAUACUGGAUAUGACUCCAUGACGCAUGUUGUGGGGUGAAAGCCUUGUGCGGCUGAGGAUGGGCCCGCGGCCUGUCAGCUUGUUGGUGGGGUGAUGGCCUACCAAGGCGACGACGGGUAGCCGGCCUGAGAGGCGACCGGCCACACUGGGACUGAGACACGGCCCAGACUCCUACGGGAGGCAGCAGUGGGGAAUCUUGCGCAAUGGGCGAAAGCCUGACGCAGCGACGCCG
Molecule: ribosomal RNA, 366 nt
Filed under: uncultured bacterium
Lineage: Bacteria
Description: bacterial SSU rRNA
Rfam family: Bacterial small subunit ribosomal RNA
Source: RNAcentral